This 404-nucleotide ribosomal RNA is filed under the name uncultured Gammaproteobacteria bacterium. RNAcentral describes it as "bacterial SSU rRNA". It matches the Rfam family "Bacterial small subunit ribosomal RNA", at positions 355 to 776 of the family's 1533-position model. The record is from RNAcentral. Lineage: Bacteria; Pseudomonadati; Pseudomonadota; Gammaproteobacteria. RNAcentral also lists the same sequence under 1 other name.
UGGGGAAUCUUGGACAAUGGGGGCAACCCUGAUCCAGCGACGCCGCGUGACCGAGGAAGGCCCUCGGGUCGUAAAGGUCUUUCAGCGGGGACUAUGGUGAAGCUACCCGCAGAAGCAGGAGCGGCUAACUACGUGCCAGCAGCCGCGGUAAUACGUAGGCUCCAAGCGUUGUUCGGAAUCACUGGGCGUAAAGCGAGCGCAGGCGGCGCGCCGUGUCGGACGUGAAAUCUCCCGGCUCAACCGGGAGGGUGCGUUCGAAACUGGCGUGCUGGAGUGCGGCAGGGGAAGGCAGAAUUCCUGGUGUAGCGGUGGAAUGCGUAGAGAUCAGGAGGAAUGCCGGAGGUGAAGACGGCCUUCCGGGCCGCCACUGACGCUGAGGCUCGAAAGCGUGGGGAGCGAACAGG